Molecule: long non-coding RNA, 672 nt
Organism: Talpa occidentalis (Iberian mole)
Lineage: Eukaryota; Metazoa; Chordata; Mammalia; Eulipotyphla; Talpidae
Exons: 4
Source: RefSeq, a predicted model, not a curated record
CCCAGCAUCCAAAGCGAGGAGGUUAUGGAGGUUGGGGGGUUAGGGACAGAGCAGGAGAGAAUGGGGCUUCUCCUCUGGCGGCCCCAGCUUUUGUCUGAGCUCUGGGAUCGGGUUUCUUUAGGAAACAAUCAGAGGCCUCUGGAAAAAAACACACUCAGAACCUGGCAACAGGCAGAGGGGCAAGGCCUGGGGAGGAAACGGCACUGCUCCACUCAGUUCUCAGCAGGUUCCAGACAGCGGGAAGGAGCCUUCAAGUGUGACCCCAAUGUUAUAGGUUCUUCCUCCCUCCUCUGCGGUGUGGGACUGGCCCCUACCUGCCCACCAGGUAAGCUGUGGAAGUGCCAAGAAAGAAACAGGCCCCUGGAGUUGCCCUCAGAGAAAACAGCAGAAAGUGGACAUGGGAGAUGUGGAAGCUGCUCUGUCCACAGCAAACCCUCCCGCCCCCGCCCGGGCCUGCACACUCCAGCCCUUCACAGCCUGAAUCUGAGGCUCAGUCUGGCAAAUUAGCCUGGUCUUAUCAAAGGAAACCAAACCAGCGGAAGCCCAAGGAUCACCCAAGACCCACUGUCUGGACAAACCCACCACUGAAGUGUCCAUUCUUUUCUAGGAGACUCCAAGCCUACCACCCCCACCCCCGCAACUCCCACCUCCAUUCCUGGAAUAAAGGGACAA